This 324-nucleotide ribosomal RNA is filed under the name uncultured eukaryote. RNAcentral's name for it is "partial 18S ribosomal RNA". It matches the Rfam family "Eukaryotic small subunit ribosomal RNA", at positions 1470 to 1796 of the family's 1831-position model. The record is from RNAcentral.
CCCUUAGCUGUCCUGGGCUGCACGCGCGCUACACUGAUGUGUCCAGUAAGCACCUAACCUCUUCCGAAAGGAACGGGUAACCUUUGCAAAGCACAUCGUGAUGGGGAUAGAUUAUUGCAAUUAUUAGUCUUGAACGAGGAAUUCCUAGUAAGCACAAGUCAUCAGCUUGUGUUGAUUACGUCCCUGCCCUUUGUACACACCGCCCGUCGCUCCUACCGAUUGAAUGUUCCGGUGAGCUCUUCGGACUGCGCGGUCUGCAGUUUCUGCGUUCCGUGCGGAAAGUUGCGCAAACCUUAACAUUUAGAGGAAGGAGAAGUCGUAACA